RNAcentral lists this ribosomal RNA (506 nucleotides) under uncultured bacterium. RNAcentral describes it as "partial 16S ribosomal RNA". It matches the Rfam family "Bacterial small subunit ribosomal RNA", at positions 29 to 523 of the family's 1533-position model. The record is from RNAcentral.
AGUGAACGCUGGCAGUAGGCCUAACACAUGCAAGUCGAACGGCAGCACAGAGGAGCUUGCUCCUUGGGUGGCGAGUGGCGGACGGGUGAGGAAUACAUCGGAAUCUACUCUGUCGUGGGGGAUAACGUAGGGAAACUUACGCUAAUACCGCAUACGACCUACGGGUGAAAGCAGGGGAUCUUCGGACCUUGCGCGAUUGAAUGAGCCGAUGUCGGAUUAGCUAGUUGGCGGGGUAAAGGCCCACCAAGGCGACGAUCCGUAGCUGGUCUGAGAGGAUGAUCAGCCACACAGGAACUGAGACACGGUCCAGACUCCUACGGGAGGCAGCAGUGGGGAAUAUUGGACAAUGGGCGCAGGCCUGAUCCAGCCAUACCGCGUGGGUGAAGAAGGCCUUCGGGUUGUAAAGCCCUUUUGUUGGGAAAGAAAUCGAGCCGGCUAAUACCUGGUUGGGAUGACGGUACCCAAAGAAUAAGCACCGGCUAACUUCGUGCCAGCCGCCGCCGUAA